CGCUGGCGGCGUGCCUAAUACAUGCAAGCCGAACGGUCUUUCUAUGGAAGCUUGCUUCCACUGAGAAGAUAGUGGCGAACGGGUGAGUAACACGUGGGUAACCUGCCCAUAAGAGGGGGAUAACAUCCGGAAACGGGUGCUAAUACCGCAUAGUUUUCUUGAUCGCAUGAUUGAGAAAGGAAAGACGGCCUUUGUGCUGUCGCUUAUGGAUGGACCCGCGGCGUAUUAGUUAGUUGGUGAGGUAACGGCUCACCAAGACGAUGAUACGUAGCCGACCUGAGAGGGUGAUCGGCCACAUUGGGACUGAGACACGGCCCAAACUCCUACGGGAGGCAGCAGUAGGGAAUCUUCCGCAAUGGACGAAAGUCUGACGGAGCAACGCCGCGUGAGUGAAGAAGGUUUUCGGAUCGUAAAACUCUGUUGUCAGAGAAGAACAAGUUGGAGAGUAACUGCUCCAGCCUUGACGGUAUCUGACCGGAAAGCCACGGCUAACUACGUGCCAGCCGCCGC
RNAcentral lists this ribosomal RNA (510 nucleotides) under uncultured bacterium. RNAcentral describes it as "bacterial SSU rRNA". It matches the Rfam family "Bacterial small subunit ribosomal RNA", at positions 34 to 518 of the family's 1533-position model. The record is from RNAcentral.